Molecule: non-coding RNA, 1689 nt
Organism: Pelodiscus sinensis (Chinese soft-shelled turtle)
Lineage: Eukaryota; Metazoa; Chordata; Testudines; Trionychidae
Source: RefSeq, a predicted model, not a curated record
CGGCGCAGGUGCAGGAGUCUUCGCCCGGAGGGGCCACCCACACACGUGCCCAGCCCCUCCCCCAGUGCGUAGGUGCCGGCGUCCCUGAGCAGGGGCAUCGGGUUUAAAAGCCGGGCGGCCAGGACGCAGAGGAGAGGGGAAAAAGGACGGAGCCCCGGCGAGCCGGGGCGCAGAGACUCACGCCGGACGGCGGCGGGGCGGCAGGACCAUUGCACGGACCAAGACAGACAAUCGAGCGUCCUGGGACUGGAGUGGCGGCGAGUGAGGUGCGAGCCUCAUCUCCCACACCAGCCUCCUGACCCCCCAAGAAUCACAAGUGCUGCCGCCCCCGCGAGGACUUCCAGCGGGAACACAUCGGCUGCCUCCGUUCCCUCCAGCAGUCUCUGGACAGGCAGGAGCAGUGGUUGGAUCCAGACUUAGAGCAGCGCCGUGCUGAUGGGAACCACCUGGCGGGAGCUGUACCAGGAGGCCCGGAGCAUGGCCUCCUGGAUGCGCACAGCCUCCUGAUGGGCCUGCUGGAUGGCAGCUGUGUGCAGCUGUUCAAAGACCCUGGCCAGCCACUCGGCCUCUGUCCCUCACCCUGGCAGAAACAUCUCCCCCUUAUUUUCGCACAGGCUGUGCAGAACACAGCAGGCUGACCCUCCUGGGGGAUGUUCCGCUCACUCAGAUCUCACCAGAGGGAAAGAAAAAAAUUUGCAGAAGAAAUUUGAAGAAUCCAUCUUGUAGGGCUUCAAGAAACUCAUCCCUCAAUUUCUGCAGCACUGAUGAUACCUCAGGGUGUGAAAGAGAUGAGAUCUCCACUGAGAUGAUUCUUGUGGACAUGUACAGACAGGGUUGAAAUGAUCACCAAAUUUGGACGUAGGAAGGAAUUUUCUCCCAGAUAAUAUUGUUCAGGGACUGGGGGUUACUCUUCCUUCCCCAUUACUCCCAUCCCAUUACUCCUAGCUCCAACAUAUAAGGCUGGUGCUGCAUAGCUGCAUCUGAUUCCUUCUAUCAUCUGCAGCUAUAUUUCAAUGUUAUUUUGUGAUUAUAUCCCUGCCUUUGUGACUGCAUAGAUUAUGACAAGGGUUGGAUCAUGGCAAUACAUUCUGCCUGAUGCUACACCAGAAAAGCCAUUUGAAAACUUCAGCUGGAACAGAAAGCCACUGAGAAACUACACAGAGAAACUUGUCACAUCAAUCACAUCCCACCUGUGAACCACUUUCCUAAGGUGCAACCCCAGGUGGUGGUUCUGAUCUAGAUAUUUCUAACUAUUUGGUGUCCCCAGCUCCAGAUGUCUCUGGCUACUUUGUGCCCUGGGUCACACAAACAAAAUGCAAAUUUCUGCACCUAUUUUCUUCUCCCCCACAAGAGUCAUCCAUCCAAAUGGAGAUACUGCGUUUUGAAGACUUAUUUUGGUUUCAGCAAAUAACAGAAUACAUUUUGGAAGCUUUACUGAAAAUGAUUCUAGAUGACUGCUACUGCUUCUGUGGGCAUUUGGAAAAUUCUUGGAAUGAUUUUCAUUUGCUUGGUGUGAUGAAUAUUACUAUAGUAACAGAUACAUAUAAUAAUAUGACCUCAUAACUGAGAAAUUGAGACAUGCGUGUCAUAACUCUAUAUUCUGUGGUCAGAAAAAAAGAAAAAAGAAAAAGACAUUUGAAAUCUUAGGGCACGUCUAAAUUACAUUCCUCUUCCAAAAGAGGAAUGUAA